UACAGAGGGUGCGAGCGUUGUUCGGAAUUACUGGGCGUAAAGGGCUCGUAGGCGGCCAACUAAGUCAGACGUGAAAUCCCCAGGCUCAACCUGGGAACUGCGUCUGAUACUGGAUGGCUUGAAUUCGGGAGAGGGAUGCAGAAUUCCAGGUGUAGCGGUGAAAUGCGUAGAUAUCUGGAGGAAUACCGGUGGCGAAGGCGGCAUCCUGGACCGACAUUGACGCUGAUGAGCGAAAGCUAGGAGAGCAAACGGG
RNAcentral lists this ribosomal RNA (253 nucleotides) under uncultured bacterium. RNAcentral describes it as "partial 16S ribosomal RNA". It matches the Rfam family "Bacterial small subunit ribosomal RNA", at positions 524 to 776 of the family's 1533-position model. The record is from RNAcentral.